AGCUCCAAUAGCGUAUAUUAAAGUUGUUGUUGUUAAAAAGCUCGUAGUUGGAUCUCAGUUCUAAUCUAUCGGUCCACUUGCCAGUGGUUACUGAUAGAUUGAACACUUUACCGACUUGUCCUAUGGUGCUCUUUACCGAGUGUCAUAGGCGAUCGGUACGUUUACUUUGAAAAAAUUAGAGUGCUCAAAGCAGGCGUAACGCCCGAAUAAUGUUGCAUGGAAUAAUGGAAUAGGACCUCGGUUCUAUUUUGUUGGUUUUCGGAAUCUGAGGUAAUGAUUAAGAGGGACAGACGGGGGCAUUCGUAUUGCGGCGCUAGAGGUGAAAUUCUUGGACCGUCGCAAGACGAACUAAAGCGAAAGCAUUUGCCAAGAAUGUUUUCA
Molecule: ribosomal RNA, 381 nt
Filed under: uncultured eukaryote
Lineage: Eukaryota
Description: SSU rRNA
Rfam family: Eukaryotic small subunit ribosomal RNA
Source: RNAcentral